CCUACGGGCGGCAGCAGUGGGGGAUAUUGCACAAUGGGGGAAACCCUGAUGCAGCGACGCCGCGUGUGGGAAGACGGUCUUCGGGAUUUUAAACCACUUUCUCCAGGGACGAAAAUGACGGUACCUGGGGAGAAAGCUCCAGCAAACUACGUCCCAGCAGCCGCGGUAAUACGUAGGGAGCGAGGGUUGUCCGGAAUGACUGUGUGAAAAGGGAGCGUAGGCGGGGAUGCAAGUUGGGUGUCAAAACUACCGGCUAAACUGGUAGUCGCACUCAAAACUGCAGCUCUUGAGUGAAGUAGAGGAAGGCGGAAUUCCUAGUGUAGCGGUGAAAUGCGUAGAUAUUAGGAGGAACACCAGUGGCGAAGGCGGCCUGCUGGGCUUUUACUGACGCUGAGGCUCGAAAGUGUGGGGAGCAAACAGGAUUAGAUACCCGGGUAGUC
This 440-nucleotide ribosomal RNA is filed under the name uncultured bacterium. RNAcentral's name for it is "partial 16S ribosomal RNA". It matches the Rfam family "Bacterial small subunit ribosomal RNA", at positions 338 to 795 of the family's 1533-position model. The record is from RNAcentral.